RNAcentral lists this long non-coding RNA (2557 nucleotides) under Homo sapiens (human). RNAcentral's name for it is "non-protein coding lnc-TBC1D22A-4:6". The record is from RNAcentral. Lineage: Eukaryota; Metazoa; Chordata; Mammalia; Primates; Hominidae.
GUUCAGUCCGCCAUUGCAAACACGAAGCUCUUCCAGAAACGCCCUCACAGACACCCCGGAAGUCACGUACCCACUCUGUAGGUGCCCCGGGGCACAGGCAAGCGGACGAGCCAGUUAUCCCUCAGAGCUCCUGCUGCCUCGCCCGCUUUCUCUCGGAAACGUGAAGUGUGGCCUCAGCUGAAAGUGAGGUGGGCCUCAUUCAAUCAGUUGAAUUCUUCAAGAGAGAAAAACUGAAGUCCCUUAGAAGGAAAGAGUUCUGCCUUCAGACUGUCUUUGAACUUAAGACUGUAGCGUCGACUCCUGCCGGAAUUUCCAGCCUGCUGGCCAGCUCUGCAGAUUCACACUUGCCAGCCUCCACAAUCUUCCUGGAUUUGAAACUGAAGAAGCAAGCAAUCUGGAAAUGUCAGUGGAUGCACACAAAGAAACAACCGCAAAAGCCUGCUCGCUCUAGCCAAGGGACAAGAAUAGGGGCAGUCCAUCAAGACAGAAUCCUUUUAAAAAAUAACCACUCCACUCCAGCAAUACCACAGAAGAAUCUGGCUGUACCCCAGGUACAUCAGCAAAGAUAACCUUUACCUAGCAGUAAAGAGGUCCCCCUUACACUGGGAGCCCUAGUGAAGAGCAGGGACUUUCACCCCCACCUAGCAGUGAUGGGGCCCCACCCACCACAGUGCCAGCAGAGACCAUGUGGGAGCCAGAAUCCUCAUCCCUACCCAGCAGUAACAAGGAGCCCUCCUCACUGCGGGCAUCAAGGGUGAGUGAGUGCAAAACCUGGGUGUCACUCGGAAGGGAAGAAUGGUGUCUCCUUCCUUCCCAUCCCCUGCCAGAGUGAUAUCACUAGGAAAAAGAAAAUAAUUUAUCACCAGCAAAUCUACCCUACAGCUAAAACAGAGGGCUUAAGUUAGGCCCAGAAUCUCAUGACAUAAUACGAAAAUGUCCAGAAUUUAAUAGAAAAUCACUUAUUCUACUAAAAAUGGAGAGGAUCACACAAUGGGUGAAAAGACAAUCAGUGCAUGCCAUACAAAUUGACAGAGAUGUUGGAAUUAUUUGACAAAGGUUUUAAAACAGCGAUGAAAAUGCUUCAAUAAACAAUUACGAACACACUUAAACAAAGGAAAACAAAGAAAGCCUCAGCAAAGAAAUAGAAAGCCUCAGCAAGGCAAUAGAGAUAUAAAGAAAAAAAAAUGAGUAGACAUUUUAUUAUUUAUUUAUUUAUUUAUUUAUUUGAGAUGGAGUCUCCCUCUGUUGCCCAGGCUGGAGUGCAGUGGCAUGAUCUCGGCUUACUGCAGCCUCUGCCUCCCGGGUUCAAACGAUUCUCCUGCCUCAGCCUCCCGAGGAGCUGAGAUUACAGGCACCCACCACCAUGGCUGGCUAAUUUUUGUAUUUUUAGUAGAGGCGGGGUUUCACCAUGUUGGCCAGGCUGCUCUUGAACUCCUGACCUCAAGUGAUCCACCCACCUCAGCCUCCCAAAGUGCUGGGUUUACAGGCAUGCACCCCCACACCCAGCCUCAAAUAGACAUUUUAGAACUGAAAAAUAUAAUUGAAAUUUUAAAAGCACAGUGAAAUGAGCUCAACAGCAGAAUGAAAUGGACACAGGAAAGAACUGCGAAAUGGAAGAUGGAACAAUGGAAAUAAUCCAACCCGAACAACAUGGAGAAAGUAGAAGAAUAAUAAAACAACAACAAGAACAGCAACAACAAAAAGUGAACCAGCGCCUCAGGGACUUCUGGGAUUAUAAGAAAAGUCUAAAUUUUGUGUCAUUUUGUCCCUGCAGGAGAGGUGAAAGGGGGAGAGGCUGAAAAGUACAUGAAGAAAUAAUGGCUGAAAAUGACCCAAAUUGUUAAGAUACAUAAACCUGCAGAUUCAAGAAGCUGAAAGAUGCUCCAACAGGAUAAACCUAAAGAAAUCUAUGCCAACAUGCAUCAUAAUUAAACUUCUGCAAAGCAAAAAACAAAACAUUUCUGAAAACAGCCAGGGGAAAAGAACACCCAACCUGGAAGGGAAAAACAAUUCGAAUGACAGUGGAUUUGUCAUCAGAAACCAUGGAAGCCAGGAGGAAAUGACACAAUAUUUUUCAGCUACUAAGAGCAAAAAACUGUCAUCCCAAAAUUCUAUACCCAUAAAAAUAUCUUUCAAGAAGGAAGGAGAAAUGAAGACAUUCUCAGAUGAAGGAAAACUGAGAGAAUGUAUCAGCAGCAGACCUAUCCUAACAAAAUAGCUAAAAAGAGUUCUCUAAACAGAAAGGAAAUGAUAAAAAGGAACCUUACAACAUCAAGAAGAAAAAAUGAUGAGCAAAGUAAAUAAAAAUAUGAAUAAAUAUAGUAGGCAGUUUCUUUUUCCUCUUGAGUCUUAUAAAUUACACUUGAUGGUUGAAGCAAAAAUUAUGAUAUCAUUUGAUAUGGUUCUAAAUAUAUGCAGAGGAUAUAUUUAUGACAAUUAUUGAAAGUAAUGGCAAAAACUGUAAUUAUUUUGCACCAACCUAAUAUAAACUGGGGAAAUGAAGGUUCUUAAAGAUAGGCAAGAGUUCUUUAUUUGACUCCACCUAAUAAAAGGAUAA